CCUACGGGAGGCAGCAGUGGGGAAUAUUGCACAAUGGGGGGAACCCUGAUGCAGCAAUGCCGCGUGGGGGAAGAAGCACUACGGUGCGUAAAGCCCUGUCAGCAGGGAAGAAAAUGACAGUACCUGGACAAGAAGCCCCGGCCAACUACGUGCCAGCAGCCGCGGUAAUACGUAGGGGGCAAGCGUGAUCCGGAUUUACGGGGGGUAAAGGGAGCGCAGGCGGUGGGGCAAGUCAGAGGUGAAAACCCGGGGCCCAACCCCGGGAGUGCAUUUGAAACUGCCAUGCUGGAGUGCCGGAGAGGUAAGCGGAAUGCCUGGUGUAGCGGUGAAAUGCGUAGAUAUUAGGCGGAACACCAGUGGCGAAGGCGGCUCACUGGACGGUAACUGACGCUGAGGCUCGAAAGCGUGGGGAGCAAACAGGAUUAGAUACCCUUGUAGUC
This 440-nucleotide ribosomal RNA is filed under the name uncultured bacterium. RNAcentral describes it as "partial 16S ribosomal RNA". It matches the Rfam family "Bacterial small subunit ribosomal RNA", at positions 338 to 795 of the family's 1533-position model. The record is from RNAcentral.